UUUGUAGAAGUCUACAAUUUGUGCAGGAGUAAAGGCAGGACGAGUAGGAUCAUCAAGGCUUGGGGUGGCUAACAAAGCUGUUAUGAGUCCACCAGUGCCAGUCCCUCCUAUCACAUCAAAGUAAUGUGCUAAAUCUGCAUUUGGA
RNAcentral lists this small RNA (145 nucleotides) under Vigna angularis var. angularis. Its description in RNAcentral is "Non-protein coding transcript". Lineage: Eukaryota; Viridiplantae; Streptophyta; Magnoliopsida; Fabales; Fabaceae. The record is from RNAcentral.